This 264-nucleotide ribosomal RNA is filed under the name uncultured bacterium. RNAcentral's name for it is "partial 16S ribosomal RNA". It matches the Rfam family "Bacterial small subunit ribosomal RNA", at positions 793 to 1055 of the family's 1533-position model. The record is from RNAcentral.
GUCCACGCCGUAAACGAUUGAUGCUAGCCGUCGGCAAGCUUGCUUGUCGGUGGCGCAGCUAACGCAUUAAGCAUCCCGCCUGGGGAGUACGGCCGCAAGGUUAAAACUCAAAGGAAUUGACGGGGGCCCGCACAAGCGGUGGAGCAUGUGGUUUAAUUCGACGCAACGCGAAGAACCUUACCAGCCCUUGACAUGUCCGGACGGUUUCCAGAGAUGGAUUCCUCCUAGCAAUAGGUCGGAACACAGGUGCUGCAUGGCUGUCGU